GGAUGCCAGGGAGAGCUGUCUUCACAGUCACCCUGUGACCAGUAGGACUGAGUCAGCUGAUCUGGCUAGGUGGGUGUCUCUCCUUCCCUUGUUACUGCAAGUGUACCCACCCUGAUAUUGUGGGCCUGGAAGAAGACAGCUUUCUUGACUAGGACUGGUUGGCUCUUCACUUAAUGCUGUACAAGCAGCUGCACUCCCUGUUGGUGCCUCCAAACAGCCUGAGGAGUCUUAGAGAAGGCCAUCUUAACUCACAAGCCUUACAGAAGGACAGGUUAUUUGGAGGUUACCAUUUGAGCCUCAUUC
Cricetulus griseus (Chinese hamster) is the source of this 303-nucleotide unclassified non-coding RNA. Its record names the gene 7SK. It matches the Rfam family "7SK RNA". From Rfam's summary of the family: 7SK was discovered as an abundant small nuclear RNA in the mid-70s but a possible function has only recently been suggested. Two independent studies have found that 7SK RNA binds the CDK9/cyclin T complex (known as elongation factor P-TEFb). Lineage: Eukaryota; Metazoa; Chordata; Mammalia; Rodentia; Cricetidae. The record is from Ensembl.